This 365-nucleotide ribosomal RNA is filed under the name uncultured archaeon. RNAcentral describes it as "bacterial SSU rRNA". It matches the Rfam family "Archaeal small subunit ribosomal RNA", at positions 93 to 458 of the family's 1478-position model. The record is from RNAcentral.
GUAACGCGUAGUCAACCUACCCUAUGGACGGGAAUAACCUCGGGAAACUGAGUAUAAUGCCCGAUAGAACAUUAUACCUGGAAUGGUUUAUGUUCCAAAUGAUUUAUCGCCGUAGGAUGGGACUGCGGCCUAUCAGUUUGUUGGUGAGGUAAUGGCCCACCAAGACUAUUACAGGUACGGGCUCUGAGAGGAGUGGCCCGGAGAUGGGUACUGAGACACGGACCCAGGCCCUAUGGGGCGCAGCAGGCGAGAAAACUUUGCAAUGUGCGAAAGCACGACAAGGUUAAUCCGAGUGGUUUCUGCUAAAGGAACCUUUUGUCAGUCCUAGAAACACUGAUGAAUAAGGGGUGGGCAAGUUCUGGUGU